RNAcentral lists this ribosomal RNA (513 nucleotides) under uncultured bacterium. RNAcentral's name for it is "partial 16S ribosomal RNA". It matches the Rfam family "Bacterial small subunit ribosomal RNA", at positions 28 to 523 of the family's 1533-position model. The record is from RNAcentral.
GAUGAACGCUGGCGGCGUGCCUAAUACAUGCAAGUCGAGCGAACAGACGAGGAGCUUGCUCCUCUGACGUUAGCGGCGGACGGGUGAGUAACACGUGGAUAACCUACCUAUAAGACUGGGAUAACUUCGGGAAACCGGAGCUAAUACCGGAUAAUAUAUUGAACCGCAUGGUUCAAUAGUGAAAGAUGGUUUUGCUGUCACUUAUAGAUGGAUCCGCGCCGCAUUAGCUAGUUGGUAAGGUAACGGCUUACCAAGGCAACGAUGCGUAGCCGACCUGAGAGGGUGAUCGGCCACACUGGAACUGAGACACGGUCCAGACUCCUACGGGAGGCAGCAGUAGGGAAUCUUCCGCAAUGGGCGAAAGCCUGACGGAGCAACGCCGCGUGAGUGAUGAAGGUCUUCGGAUCGUAAAACUCUGUUAUUAGGGAAGAACAAAUGUGUAAGUAACUAUGCACGUCUUGACGGUACCUAAUCAGAAAGCCACGGCUAACUACGUGUCAGCCGCCGCCGUAA